CUCCAGGUGACCGUAUGUGGAUCCAGGA
Molecule: non-coding RNA, 28 nt
Filed under: Homo sapiens (human)
Lineage: Eukaryota; Metazoa; Chordata; Mammalia; Primates; Hominidae
Source: RNAcentral